UAAAGGUAUAAGAUUUGUUUGGAGUGGACACGUUUGCUUACGUUUGCCGCUAGGGGCGCUGUUACAACUGCAUACAAAUUUGAGUUA
Molecule: microRNA precursor, 87 nt
Filed under: Bombyx mori (domestic silkworm)
Lineage: Eukaryota; Metazoa; Arthropoda; Insecta; Lepidoptera; Bombycidae
Description: mir-2807 microRNA precursor family
Rfam family: mir-2807 microRNA precursor family
Source: Rfam by way of RNAcentral